AGUGAACGCUGGCGGUAGGCCUAACACAUGCAAGUCGAACGGCAGCACAGUAAGAGCUUGCUCUUACGGGUGGCGAGUGGCGGACGGGUGAGGAAUACAUCGGAAUCUACUUUUUCGUGGGGGAUAACGUAGGGAAACUUACGCUAAUACCGCAUACGACCUACGGGUGAAAGCAGGGGAUCUUCGGACCUUGCGCGAUUGAAUGAGCCGAUGUCGGAUUAGCUAGUUGGCGGGGUAAAGGCCCACCAAGGCGACGAUCCGUAGCUGGUCUGAGAGGAUGAUAAGCCACACUGGAACUGAGAAAAGGUCCAGACUCCUACGGGAGGCAGCAGUGGGGAAUAUUGGCCAAUGGGCGCAAGCCUGAUCCAGCCAUACCGCGUGGGUGAAGAAGGCCUUCGGGUUGUAAAGCCCUUUUGUUGGGAAAGAAAAGCAGCAGGUUAAUACCCCGCUGUUCUGACGGUACCCAAAGAAUAAGCACCGGCUAACUUCGUG
Molecule: ribosomal RNA, 492 nt
Filed under: uncultured bacterium
Lineage: Bacteria
Description: partial 16S ribosomal RNA
Rfam family: Bacterial small subunit ribosomal RNA
Source: RNAcentral